AAAUGGUAUGCUACAUGCUUGUUGGAAUGACCUUAUUAAGUGAAUAGAACCAUGGGUCAUUAACCAAUCCUUGCAACCUUGCUCAAAUGACUGUAGAUGAACUCUACAACAAAAGUCAUGAAGGGUUCAUGUUGAGCUUGUGCCCAGAAAAUACUUCAAUUGGCCUAAAACCUUAAUUCAAGCUUUAUCAAGUUGCUGCAUUG
RNAcentral lists this long non-coding RNA (203 nucleotides) under Sorghum bicolor (sorghum). RNAcentral describes it as "long non-coding RNA (SBIC_LNC010076)". The record is from RNAcentral. Lineage: Eukaryota; Viridiplantae; Streptophyta; Magnoliopsida; Poales; Poaceae.